Non-coding RNA from Podarcis lilfordi (Lilford's wall lizard), 69 nucleotides. Lineage: Eukaryota; Metazoa; Chordata; Lepidosauria; Squamata; Lacertidae. The record is from the annotation of a GenBank genome assembly.
GCCCUGGCUCAUUGGUAGAGCAUCUGCUCUGCAUGCAGAAAGCCCCAGAUUCAAUCUUCGGGUCAGGCU